This 81-nucleotide transfer RNA is filed under the name Verrucomicrobiales bacterium. RNAcentral's name for it is "tRNA-Leu". It matches the Rfam family "tRNA". From Rfam's summary of the family: Transfer RNA (tRNA) molecules are approximately 80 nucleotides in length. Their secondary structure includes four short double-helical elements and three loops (D, anti-codon, and T loops). Further hydrogen bonds mediate the characteristic L-shaped molecular structure. tRNAs have two regions of fundamental functional importance: the anti-codon, which is responsible for specific mRNA codon recognition, and the 3' end, to which the tRNAs corresponding amino acid is attached (by aminoacyl-tRNA synthetases). tRNAs cope with the degeneracy of the genetic code in two manners: having more than one tRNA (with a specific anti-codon) for a particular amino acid; and 'wobble' base-pairing, i.e. permitting non-standard base-pairing at the 3rd anti-codon position. Lineage: Bacteria; Pseudomonadati; Verrucomicrobiota; Verrucomicrobiia; Verrucomicrobiales. The record is from RNAcentral. RNAcentral also lists the same sequence under 2 other names.
GCCGGUGUGGCGGAAUGGUAGACGCGCACGACUCAAAAUCGUGUUCCUUCGGGAGUGUGGGUUCGAGUCCCACCGCCGGUA